Non-coding RNA from Biomphalaria pfeifferi, 207 nucleotides. Lineage: Eukaryota; Metazoa; Mollusca; Gastropoda; Planorbidae. The record is from the annotation of a GenBank genome assembly.
UUCCCUUGGCUUGUGGCAGCAUCUAAGUGUAAUGAAAAGAUUGUUCUUAUACAUGCAGUUCAAAUAAAACCCAUUUAAAAACAAUUAAAAUUAGAAUACAUUUGUAUAACAAUGUAGAAGUGGUGUGCUUGCACGCGGGACACUAUCCAACGUCUAAUUAAUUAUCUAUGUAUUUUCCAAACCUGUAUCUUGAGAUCCAGAUGUCCC